Non-coding RNA from Pelodiscus sinensis (Chinese soft-shelled turtle), 47 nucleotides. NCBI's taxonomy places the organism in Eukaryota, Metazoa, Chordata, Testudines, Trionychidae. The record is from Rfam.
AACAAGGUUUUUUUCAAAUCCAUUGUACAAAUAAUGACAAAUAUUGU